This is a small nucleolar RNA of Lathyrus oleraceus (garden pea), 107 nucleotides long. Lineage: Eukaryota; Viridiplantae; Streptophyta; Magnoliopsida; Fabales; Fabaceae. The record is from RefSeq and is a predicted model, not a curated record.
AUAUCAUGGUAGGGACAUUGCCUAAGAAACUCUUUAAAUCUUUCCCAAGCAUCAAAUAAGGAUUUGUCAUCUCCUUGUCAAAAUGAAGUGAUCUCGUUUCUUAUCUU